AGGGUUUGGAAAUUGAAGACAGUA
RNAcentral lists this non-coding RNA (24 nucleotides) under Arabidopsis thaliana (thale cress). Lineage: Eukaryota; Viridiplantae; Streptophyta; Magnoliopsida; Brassicales; Brassicaceae. The record is from RNAcentral.